This 56-nucleotide transfer RNA is filed under the name Cerion watlingense. Its description in RNAcentral is "tRNA-Ser". Lineage: Eukaryota; Metazoa; Mollusca; Gastropoda; Stylommatophora; Cerionidae. The record is from RNAcentral.
AGAAUUGUGAUUGAAGCUGCUAACUUUAAUCGGGGGCAAUGUGGCUCCACUUCUAC